Harmonia axyridis is the source of this 557-nucleotide long non-coding RNA. RefSeq lists it as uncharacterized. The record is from RefSeq and is a predicted model, not a curated record. The transcript is spliced from 2 exons. NCBI's taxonomy places the organism in Eukaryota, Metazoa, Arthropoda, Insecta, Coleoptera, Coccinellidae.
GCUAAAAAGUAAUUAUAACUUUACCUACAACUUUUAUCAUAUAAUAUUCAUUUCCAGAAAUGAACACGAAGUGACAUUAUUUUCUUUAGCAGAAUUACGUUUGAAAUUUUUAUGACAUCGUUUUUCAUGGAUGUUUAAGAGACGAAACAUUGUUAAGUACCUCCUAAUCAUAAUUUGAAACGAUUAUUCCUGUAAUUUAUUGCGUUGUUAAUGAAAUGAUUACAUCGUUUUUAAGCAUUAGAUAAAAAAUUUAGAUAUAUAUGGGGUGUAAGUGUUAGAUUCGUCAGUGCCACUGUGGAACCAUGAAAUCUUCAAUCUUCGUCAUUUUCACAAUAUUUGCAGUCUUGCAGGUUAUGGUGAAUUCUGCAAGUUGUGUUCAAGAAGAUUCUGAAAGUGAACCAGAGAUGACUACAGAAGGCUCUCCUGAUCAAUCAGAAUCGAAUCAAGAACCACCCAGUGGUGAUGAUCCAAGACAACUGGAUGAAUAACCCCAAUAGCUUAAAAACCAGAAAAACUAAUGAAUUUCGAUUGAAUAAGAAUAAACUUAUGUGAAUACA